GCGAUCACUGCAAUCCUUGAAAAAUCCCCAUGAAUACAGUAACAGAGUUCCAGAUUGAGUACCACAUAUUACUUUUCUACCAUUCUUCAUAAUUACCACAGAGAGCAGCUCCUCUUCAGAAAAUUCAGAGCGAGUUUGGAUCUUACUGCUCCUUAAAUUGCAUACAGAAAGUGACCCAUCGCCACUUGUUGCUAAUAGUUUCAUGGAAUCAGCUGCAAAUGUAAUGUCUGAAAUGUAUUCUUCAUGUGCAUUAAAAGAAUGGGAGCAUGAGCGUUGUCUGGUAUCCCAUACCUUAAUGCAUCCUUCAUCGUCUCCGGAAGCAAUACUUGACUCAGUCAAAUUAACAAUUCGAUUAACAGCAGCCCCAUGGGAAUUCUCCAGGCGAACAAUUUCUGAGCCAGUCUCAAUGUCUGUUGCAAGAAUAGAACAAUCUGGAGAUCCCGUCACAAUUGCACGGCCCUCGUUGAUAAUCCGGACAGUUCUACAUGAUUCACUAUGAGCUUUUACUUCCAACAACUUCUGAGCCGGAGAAUCAGCAUUGUAACGGUACAAGAGAAGGUCGCCGGUGAUGAGUCCAGCAGCAACAAGGUGAUCGGAGGGAUGAAAAUCAAUGUCAAAUGGAAGCUUUCCAAGGUCUAUCUCCACGGCAGCCAUACUUCCCUGACAAGGGUUUAGGCUUAGGCUAGUGUAGGAUUUUUCACGUCUUU
Molecule: unclassified non-coding RNA, 707 nt
Filed under: Hevea brasiliensis (rubber tree)
Lineage: Eukaryota; Viridiplantae; Streptophyta; Magnoliopsida; Malpighiales; Euphorbiaceae
Source: RNAcentral